UACGAAGGGGACUAGCGUUGUUCGGAAUCACUGGGCGUAAAGCGCACGUAGGCGGAUCGUUAAGUCGGGGGUGAAAUCCUGGAGCUCAACUCCAGAACUGCCUUCGAUACUGGCGAUCUAGAGUCCGGAAGAGGUGAGUGGAACUCCUAGUGUAGAGGUGGAAUUCGUAGAUAUUAGGAAGAACACCAGUGGCGAAGGCGGCUCACUGGUCCGGUACUGACGCUGAGGUGCGAAAGCGUGGGGAGCAAACAGG
This 253-nucleotide ribosomal RNA is filed under the name uncultured bacterium. Its description in RNAcentral is "partial 16S ribosomal RNA". It matches the Rfam family "Bacterial small subunit ribosomal RNA", at positions 524 to 776 of the family's 1533-position model. The record is from RNAcentral.